This 774-nucleotide ribosomal RNA is filed under the name uncultured Neocallimastigales. Its description in RNAcentral is "partial large subunit ribosomal RNA". It matches the Rfam family "Eukaryotic large subunit ribosomal RNA", at positions 22 to 628 of the family's 3401-position model. Lineage: Eukaryota; Fungi; Neocallimastigomycota; Neocallimastigomycetes; Neocallimastigales. The record is from RNAcentral.
GUACACGCUGUGACUAGCAUAUCAAUAAGCGGAGGAAAAGUAACUAAUAAGGAUUCCCCUAGUAACGGCGAGUGAAGCGGGAAGAGCUCAAAUUUGAAAUCUUAAAGGGUUUCCCUUUACGAAUUGUAGUUUAAAGAAGUGUUUUCUGUUGAGGUUUUGGUAAAAGUUCUUUGGAAUAGGACAUCAUAGAGGGUGAGAAUCCCGUAUUUGACCUUUACUUUCAACUUUGUGAUACACUUUCAAAGAGUCGGAUUGUUUGGGAAUGCAGUCCAAAAUGGGUGGUAAAUUUCAUCUAAAGCUAAAUAUUGGCGAGAGACCGAUAGCGAACAAGUACCGUGAGGGAAAGAUGAAAAGAACUUUGAAAAGAGAGUUAAACAGUACGUGAAAUUGUCAAAAGGGAAGCGUUUGACACCAGUGUUGUUUUUCUGAAAAUCAAUUAAAGAACUGUUUAUGCUAAGUUGUUUAGACUUUAUCAGCUAACUGUUUAGUUUUGAGCUUUUCUUUAAUGCACUUUUCAGUUAACAAGUCAACAUCAAUUUCUUUUGCUGUAAAAAAGCUUGAGGAAGGUGGCUUGAGAUUCGUCUUAAGUGUUUAUAGCCUCUUGCCUAUGCAGUCGGAGAGAUUGAGGUCUGCAGCGUAGAUCCUUCGGGGCUAAAUGCAUUUGUGCUAAGUUAUAGCAUUUUAUAGACAACUUGUUGACUAUGAUUUGUCUUGUAGCUUACUCGCUUAUGUUAUUUUACCUACGCUUAGGAUGUUGAGUCGUAGAGCACGCAG